RNAcentral lists this non-coding RNA (45 nucleotides) under Echinostoma caproni. The record is from RNAcentral. Lineage: Eukaryota; Metazoa; Platyhelminthes; Trematoda; Plagiorchiida; Echinostomatidae.
GCACUGCUGAUGAGUCCCAUGUAGGACGAAACAGCUGUCUAGUGC